UGGAGUUUGACUCCCGUUCGACAGCGAGGGUCUUCGCUUAGCCACAUCGUGCAUACGGACCCUGGGAUCGAUACAGUCUCCAAUAGGAGAGGUGUCUGAUGGUGGUGAUGGAUCCUGAAGUUCGUACAAAAUUGAAAAUAUGUCUUCAAGAGAUAAGUUAGGAAAUUCAGCGUGGAUUCGUUCCGAAAAUUGUUUAACUUCUUCAUCUUCUUCUUCGUCGUCGUCUUCUUCUUCCUCUCCUUCGUCUUCAUCUUCUUCUUCUGGAAAAUUAUCUUGGAAUCUGUAAGCCAUUUAUAAUUAAAAGGAUGAUUUGCUAUUAUGAAAGAAUGAAAAUAAAAUACCAACAAUUUCUA
Molecule: non-coding RNA, 353 nt
Organism: Zootermopsis nevadensis
Lineage: Eukaryota; Metazoa; Arthropoda; Insecta; Blattodea; Termopsidae
Source: RefSeq, a predicted model, not a curated record